AAUUAUUAGGUGUAGCGAGAGACUUGUUGAGUUUGGUCUUGGCUUAAGUAUCUUGGCUUUGAUUAUGUUAAAUACAUGGAACUAUAAGGUGUCCGAUGAGGGUUAAGCUAGUGAGCAGAGGUGAGGUUAAAUAUCGAGUCUCUGUUGAUUAGUUUGGAUAUUAUUAUUGAGAUAUGAUGUCGAAUGUAAGUUUCAUUGCGCCAGUAUUGGAGAUUAAAUUAAUGAAUGUGGGUUUGAUUUAGCAAAUAAUUAUUUAAUAGGAGGCCUAGUGAAUACUUGUGCCAGCAGCUGCGGUUAAACAAGAAGGCCAAGUUAAGAAUAGAACAGUAAAAAAUAGGGUUAAUGAUUUAAGGUUAAAUAAAGGUAGAAUGGCAGAAUUAAAGAUGGGGUUUAAUCCGGGCGCUGUUGGUGAUUUCGUUACUUUUAUUGUCAUGAUGCCCUGAAACUUGUGGUAAAGACCAGAAUUUGAUACUCUGUUAUUUUUAGUGUAAAUUUGGGAAAAAUCUACUGGGGUACUACGAGCAUGUUUUUUCGAUAGAAAAUAACGGAGCUUAAAACCCAAAAGACUUGGCGGUGCUCUAAGCCUGUCUAGGGGAGCCUGUUCUUUAAACCGAUAAUCCACGUUAUAUCUGACUUUCUCUUGAGUCUCAUGCUUUAUAAGCGGUUGGUUUUGAGAUAUCAGCCUGUAUACCGUUGUCUUAAGGGAACGCCGAGAGGGUAUAGGAGUUGCCAGGAUGAAGACCAAGCUUUGGUUUGGGUCUUCAAUAAGUCAAAUCGAGGUGCAGCUAACGGGAAAGGAGUAAUGGGCUACAAUAAUUAAUUUAUUUCGGAUCUUUCUUUGAAAAAAGUGAGUGAAGUUGGACUUAGUAGUAAUUAUGGAGGGAUUAGUAUGCCAAGGUGAAGAAAGCUAUUGGAGUGUGUACAAAUCGCCCGUCGCUCUCGCUAAGUGAAGUGAGAUAAGUCGUAACAUAGUAGGGGUACUGGAAAGUGUUCCUGGAAUAAA
Molecule: ribosomal RNA, 1003 nt
Filed under: Fissurella volcano
Lineage: Eukaryota; Metazoa; Mollusca; Gastropoda; Lepetellida; Fissurellidae
Description: partial 12S ribosomal RNA
Rfam family: Bacterial small subunit ribosomal RNA
Source: RNAcentral